This 1330-nucleotide long non-coding RNA is filed under the name Dermacentor andersoni. RNAcentral describes it as "uncharacterized LOC126544269". The record is from RNAcentral. Lineage: Eukaryota; Metazoa; Arthropoda; Arachnida; Ixodida; Ixodidae.
GGGCUUGAUGACAUAUGUUGCCCAGCUACCGGUGCUACGGUUCUUUAUUCACCGCGACACACUUGGAGAAAAGGUGAGUGUCAUGCGAUUACCCGUUCUCUUCCUUGCUAAUACUUGUACAAAUUGGUUGCGCAUUCGAGCUGUGGUCGAUGUGUUCUCGAAAUUCGAAGGAACACGAUACGGUUGUCGCAGGUCUUGCAGCGAUCGCAGGAUAAUUGAUUCGUUCGUGCCUUCAACAAUUAUUAUUCAUAUGCGUUGCACCGAUGUAAAAAGAACGGCGGGAGCUUCCACGCGCCAGCAACGCAUGCACUCAACUAGUGUGAAUGUCAUCCUGUGAUAUUUGUCUCGUGCGUAGGUCUUUUUUUUUUUUUUUCUCCAUCUCUGUAUCUCUGUAGGAUGACUACGCUAUGCGCCUCUUUACCCAUGCAACACAUGGCUGCAUUUAAUUACAUUUUUACUGCUUGCACUGAGGCUUUCUCACUGCUUGUCAGAGGCUUUCAUUUGUUGCAGUGAGAUAACGAAAGCAUAUUUUUAUCACUUAAAGCUUCUUAGCAGCUCUUUUGGGAGCCGUAGAGUUGAGUCAUGCACUGUGUACGUUGUGAGCGAGCCGGUAAACAAAACCACUUUACUGCUGCUGUCGCUUUUACGGGAACCUUUAAAAUUUAACAUAUAUAUAUAUGAGUGUAUGAAUUGGCGCACCAAGCUUUCUAUACACGUCCGUUACUUUCGUUCAUGGAUCAUAUACGCAGCUUUGCAGCUGUGAUCGACAUUGUAAAAACAGCAAGAAGGCAGAUGACACAAAUAGUGUGUCUGUUAGAGCUGUUUUUAAAAUAUCAACCAACUCCAUGCACUCGUGGUGUUUACAGCUAAAACAUUUUUUUUUUUCUUGUUGCACGAGGAGCAUUUGCUUCUAAAUGUGGCAGUAACGUGAAUUGACCUCGGCCCUGAUCGCUGGCUGUGUGCAAAUUUCUCUAAUUUGUUUCACUGUACUGCUGUCUUUACAGCUUCUGGUUAUUUCCGCUGCCUGCACCGUUUAUUUGUUGUGUUUAUAGAGAUCUGGCCUGUUUCUUCCUCAUUGAAGACAAAUGAACACAAGUACUGCUUGCUGUUGGUUUGCUCAGUCUGAACCUGGUCCAUGUUUCAUGUUAUUUGAGCAGUAUUCCCACAAUACAGAUAAUAAACUCAUCAAAGUGCUGCAGAUUGAAUUAACCAUACACUAUUUUUUCAGCAAUGUGUGUGCAAAGGAAGUUCAUUCUUUCACAGCAAGGGAUGGAAGUGUGAACGUUCAUAGUGAAUUUUUAUUUUUUAAAUAAAAGGUGUUACAGCUCCA